Molecule: long non-coding RNA, 6163 nt
Filed under: Canis lupus familiaris (dog)
Lineage: Eukaryota; Metazoa; Chordata; Mammalia; Carnivora; Canidae
Description: lncRNA (ENSCAFG00000056987.1)
Source: RNAcentral
UUUUUUUUUUUUUUUUUUUUGGUCAAGCCAUCUUAACUAUGCUAUUCCCACUGUAGAAGUACAUCACCCCUGGUUGUCCCUGCCAGUCUUCACUUUGACUUGCUGAAGCCCCUAAAGUGGGAAAGAGGAGGUUUUUUUUCCCCCCCAUCUGGAAUAUUGCUGGAGUGGCUGGUUGUGUACACGUUUGGGGGCUCUGGAGGGGCGCACACCCGAAAUAUGGGCUUUCUGCUUAUUAUCUGGGGGGGGGGAUAAUAAACUCCUCUCUGUGUCAGAAAAGGAGCACAGAGAUAUACCUAGAAAAUGUUCAACUCUUCUAAGAAUGAAUAACAGAUAUGCUCAUACACAUGGAAGCCAAGGAUUGCUUAUUUCCUUUUUUUUUUUUCUUUUUUUUUUUUCUUGCUGACACGUUUACCUGAAAAGGAAAACCUUUAGGAUUCUACUCUGGAGGGAAAAAAAAUAUUUCCUCCAGUUUAGCUCGAGUGUCAUCCUUUGUGUAAUAGCACUUGCAUGGCUCUGUGUUUGCUUAUUGGAGAGACUCGGAGAGUUAAGUUGUGUGAAGACAGGGGAUAUGAUCAAGCAGAUGUCUUCAUUAUGUCAAAAGGAAGAGGGCAAAGUUUAUGCCAGAGGCCAGGUUUUCAAUGCAGAGCUCAGAAACUUAAAAGAAAUCCAACAAUUUACUGGAAAAUAGAAUUGCACAGGGAUUGUAUCUCCCUUUUGUUCUUUGGUAUGUUCUAAUUAAAAUGGUAUUGGGGGAAAAUAAAAGGCAUAUCUUUUCUACCUAUUUUGAUGGUUCAUGGCAUACUUUUGUAGCAGAGGAAGUAACCAAUUUCUUCAGAAAAACAUGAGAAGCAGCAGCACAUUUUUUAAGGAAAAUGGCAAUGGUUUAGUUCUACUGUACUUGUCUAAAAAUUAUCUUUUACUGCCAUUAUAAGUGACAGACUGGAUUCUCUAUAGGGACUUUGAGUCCCUUUACUAUCUGGCUUUUAAAUCAAUUUAUUGCAAUUACGUUUCUUAAUGCUAACUUUGCAAAGAUAAUGUAUAGAAACAAAAUCAUUUUCAACCAAGUUGCCUGCUAUCAGAAAACAUGCACCUUACCUCCUCCACCCACCACUUCCAUCAGCUUUGCAAGUAAAAACUCACUUUAAGGCACUCUUCAUUUUUUAAGAAAAAAAAGUCUGUCUUGCAAAAUACUGCUCUGAGAAACCUGACACAGAGAAAAUUUCUAGAAAGCGCAAGUACAGUUCCAGGACAUCAAAAGAUAAUUCCUUAUGGCAAAUGUAUCAAUAAGCUAGAACAACAAGUUCUGAAUAUCUAAUUAAAGCUAACUAAGUGAGUGUCCCACAUAGGGAUUUUAAAAAGAAAAUGUGACAAAUAUUCUGGAUAAAACCCUGUGUCUUCCUAAGGAAAUGAAACGUGUGGUCCCCCCUUCUGGCCCUUACUUGCUUUGCAGUCAUGAAUGCCAACUCACUAAGGCUGCAUCCUUUGAACUAUCGAAACUUUUUUUAGUUGGAAGGGACCUCUAGUGGGUCACUCCAUGCAUUUCUCCCUGUAGCUCCGUGGCAUCACGGAUUUUGUGAUCUAAGAUAAUACGUGUAUAACAGCUUUUUCUUCAUAGAUGAGUUAAUGUCCUCCAGGUACUGCCUUGACAUCUAUGCCAGGUUAAAAAAUCAUUAUUUUUGCUACCGUGUGUGUAGUUCCUCUAAUUUGAGGAACUCAGGAGUAUCCGCACAGUUUUCUGGUUAUCUAGGCUUUCGGUAACUUUUCUAUGAUUCCAAACGAAAGCUUUAGCCAAUUAAUGAAGAAUUCACCACCAUCAGUAUAAGAUUUUCCUCAUUCCUGCCUGGCCUUACCAAGACUGUUUUGCCUUCCUUCAAAUGUAUCCAAUAAUAAGAAUAAGCAUUAUAGUUAUGACGCAAAAAGUUCCAUGCAAAGAACCCCCACCACCACCAAAGAAAUAUUUGCUUAAAAAAAAUCAAUUAGCCUUUCUGAGAUCCAUAAACAUUCACUAGUGUAUUGAACUUAAAGACUUCUAAAUUAAAGGAAUCCCCCAUUCAAAUAAGAAUAUAUUAAAAGUCCAAAUCUUGUUUGGACGCAUGUAUCACCUUUAUUCCGUGAGGUGUUUUUAUUUCUCUCUUUGAUGCACCACAACACCUGUUCGGUAACCUACUGCUUAGAAAACUCUGCCUGGGACUUAAAGUAAGUUCUCUAGGGGUGAAUCAGCUUCUUCUGCUGACAGUCUGCAGGUUUCAACUUCCAAUUUAAAAAUCUGUUCUAAAGUUUGAAAUGUGUUCCAAAUGAGAUAACAUCCGGCAGAAGCCGGUUGCCUUGUGCUGCUUGCUUAGUCACUGCAGCCCAUUCUUUGGGGUUGAUCAGAAUUAGGGUCUCGCUUAUAAAAAUAACGAACAGUGACUCAGUCUGAAUGGCAUUUUUAAUAGUGUUUCAGCCUAGCUAGUGUCUACUGAGCUUACCUUAUUUGCUUCACAAAAAGGUGAAAAUGUAGAUAAUCAAACCUCCUCUGGUCUAAAAUUUUUUUUCUAAAUAAUAAUUCUAGAUACAAAGACCCAAGAACAUCAUGCUAAUAGGGACACUGCUGAAAGAAAAAUAGUAAAACUUGCGCGCGCACACACACACACACACACAUACACAGAGCGAGAGAGUGUACAAGCACCCAGUUGUGACACUGUUCCAAUAAUAGCAGUGAGGAAAUAUUUCAGAAAUGUAGGACUUGGGUUGGUUUUUUCCUCUUCAUUCCUCUAUUUCUCUUUUUGUUCUCCAAUGGGAUUUUUAUUUUACUUUGAAGACAGAUGAGGUUGAGGCACUUCCCUGGAUCUGAACAGUAAUAUUUUUGUUUGAGCUUUCCUCUUAUGAAGAUAACUGGCCUACAUUUUAAAAGUCCUAUUCCUAAGGAAUGCUCCCUUUUUGAAAGCAGUCAUAUGAGGAACUUCAGCUUGUCCCUAAUUAACUGUAGAGCCAAGUGUAUACAGUCCUUGUAACCGCAUCACUCGCAAAGUAGGAAGAUAAGAGGGGGAAAUUUGUACAAAUACCAUUCAAGAAGCUGGUACACCUUCAUUUACUACAAAAGGUAAAAAUGGACUAAAGCCAAAACGGUUGGGGCAGAGAGGACCAGAAACAGCCAGCAUCUAGUUGUACUGUCCUGGAAAUUUUUAACUCUUCCAACAAAUAAAACUCACUGAAGAAAGAAUGCUGAGCACAUGUGCAUACAUGUAAAUUAGAUGAAUAUGCAGAGGGUGCUGUGUCCCCCAUCCCCACAGAUUCCAGAUUAUAUUACCUUGUUUCAUCUGUUUAAUAUCUUCAUAUUAACACUGUUGGGUGCUUAUUUCCUCUAUUAAUCAGAUCACCUUGCUGAGAUUUAUAAGAGGAAGGGUUUAAUUAAAGCCAGAAUGUUACUAUUAAAUUUGAUGUGCAGUAUAAAUGGGCAGCAUGGGUCCCAAGCUUCACCUACCAUAUGCAUCUUGUGGAAGAGAGCAUCUCAUCAAGAUGAGGAGUAUAAAGGUAGCCACCACAGGGUACGAUUUGUCUUCAUAGAUCAUAUUGAAAGAGCACUGUGUUUUUCUCUUUCUAUAAUUUCCUAAAUUGGUAGAUCUGUCCAAAAGAUGUUUAGGAGACCUAAUAAGUUACAGGAAUAGAAGACAGCAAGAAAAAAAUAAAUUGAGGAGGUGUACGAGUAAAAUGAAAAGAGAGGAGGAGGUGAAUUUGUACAAAAAAAGGAAACAUAAGAAUAGAAAUAGAAUCAAAAUUGCUGAUUUCACACAGUGUGCAUUUUGCACUUUAUAAAUCCUGCUACUAUUAAACUCAACUUUAUAAGUGCAACAUCAUUAACAUGUUUAUAAACACUAUCCUUCUCUAUUACGGAAUGCAAAUUUGAAAAUUGUCCUUUAAAAAAUCACCAUCUAAAGGAAAUGAUCCUGCAUGAAUCAUAAAAUAACCAAAGAAGUACAUUUUUUAAAAAGUGAUCUGAAAUCUCAGGAGAAUCAAAGAAAGAGGUUCUCUUAGUGCUUUGAAGAAUACAGACUCUUUUCCUUCUAUUAUCUUUAUUGUCCUGCAAGCCAAAUAGAUAUACCGUGUGAUCUUUGGGCACCUGCAAACCAAAGUCUGUAAUACUGAUACACAUCAAAUAUAAGUCACCCAUUUGGAUUCUGUAUGUGGUACAUCAUGAAAGACUAGCAAGAGAGUCCGCCCCCACCCCAUAAUGCCUGUUAACAAGUAUGUCAUAUAUGUGUGUGUGUAUAUAUAUGUCUAUACAUACACACACACAUAUAAUAUGCAUAUACGAUAGCCAAGAUAAAAAAUUCUGACCAUUAGGCUCAGAAUUUUUAUACAUUCAAAAGAUAAUGGUGAUUAUAAAGUAAAUGACAAUAAACUUUUCAUGAGCUUUUCUGCAUGUUACACGCUGUUCUAAGUAUUUUAUAACAUUCUGUACAGUAACAAUUACACACUAAGUCCAAAGGAAAAUGCUAUACUUCUGUCCUUUGCAGUUAUCCCUUUUUUGGUUUGAAUUUCCAGGGAAUUCCUGCUUGAGCUAAGCAUUUAAUGAAUGUGCUAUUUACAAACACUUGUGAUCUCUUAGAAUUUAGUGUGACACUCUGAGACAUGCAUAGCAGAAGAGUACAUGGGAAUGAUCUAUUUUGACCAAAGCGAUGCAGAUUUUAAGGCUAAGGAAAAUGUUUGUAGGUUAUUCAGUUUUGAGAAACUACUUGCAAGUAUGCUUACAGUUUAUAAUUGUAGUAAAAAGUACUGUGUGAGCCAUUUGAGCACUUUUUGUAAGAGAAUAGAUGAUCUUCUCCGGCCUUCAGAAAUAGCCAGAUGUUGGAGGAGUAUUUGAGGAAGGUAGCUAAAAGUGACAACAACUCAUUUCAUUGGUGGGGCAUCCCACCUGCACAGUACCCUCUGAAGGUUUGAGUCCUUUCUCAGUGCAUUCGAUAUGCUCACUCUGUACAUAGCAUUUAGGACUGUGGGUAGAGCCGAGUAAGGUCAUAUGUGAUGUGUAAAAAUAAUUACUUUCUUCUUUUAUGAUCAUAAUUUUGUUAUUUCAUUACCAUCACAGUUUAAUAUCUGUUCUGAAUGAUUUCUUUACCCAGUGAAAUUUCACACCAAAAAAAGGGCGGGGGGGGGAAUGCCUAGGGAACACAGGUGGCUGGGUGCCCAGCUCUUGGUUUCAGCUCAGGUCAUGAUCUCAGGGUUGUGAGAUUAAGCCCCCUGUCUGAUUCCAUGCUCAAGUGUGAAGUCUGCUGGAGAUUCUCCCUCUCCCUCUGCCCCUUCUUCUAUGCUUUCUCUCACCAUCUUGCUCUCUAACAUAAAUAAAUAUAUCUUUUUAAAAAAAAGUUGAGGUAGAGACAGAAGACAUCCUAUUAACAAUAUAAUAAUAUCAUAUAUGGUUGACUUUGAUGAGCCAUUCUCUAUUCUUUCUAUUGCCAAUAUUCAGAAACUCACGCGGUUAAUCUAGCUUUCAUGAACAAUGUGAUAAUUACAAAUAAAAUCAGAGAAUGGGAGACAGACAGGAGCUCAGAAAUAACUUUACCCAACACCCAUCAUUUGCAUUUGAGAUACAUGAUGACCAGAGAAGUAAAUGAGUUAUCUCUAUCCCUCUCUUUUAUAACUUCUAGUUGCUCGGCAAUAUUGCUUUUUAAAAUCACCAUUUAAUUAUGGCAUUAAAAAUUAAAGAGGAACUUUAUAAUAUUAUUUUUUACAAAUAUGCUGUGAAGGAACAGACAUGGAAACUUACAGAGAAAAUGAGGAUUUAGACUUCUUUAGAAAUUUCGUGUCUUCGUACCAUUUUGUAAAGCUCCUGUUGUAAAGAAUUAAUUUUUUCCUUCAAAAUUUUGAUCGCUAUUGGGGCAGGGGGCACAUUAUAAAACUUGGGUUUGCAUUUUAUUUUUAAUGGUCUGAUGGUUGUUUUGAGUGAGCUCCAUCUAAGUCAGUGAUUCUGGGCAGCCCGGGGGGGGGGGGUUCAGCGGUUUAGCGCCGCCUUCAGCCCAGGGCGUGAUCCUGGAGACCCGGGAUCGAGACCUACAUCGAGCUCCCUGCAUGGAAACUGCUUCUCCCUCUGCCUGUCUCUGCCUCUGUGUGUGUGUGUGUGUGUGUGUGUGUGUGUGUGUGUGUGUCUCAUGAGUAAAUAAAUAAAAUCUUUAAAAAAAAAAAAAGU